Molecule: RNA transcript, 5797 nt
Organism: Triticum aestivum (bread wheat)
Lineage: Eukaryota; Viridiplantae; Streptophyta; Magnoliopsida; Poales; Poaceae
Gene name: beta-carotene isomerase D27, chloroplastic
Exons: 8
Source: RefSeq, a predicted model, not a curated record
CACUCCACAAGCAAGACGGUGACCAUGCCAGUGAUGCCUCGCUUCUACUCCACUACGCCCAUGCCCCGCCUCCUCCGCCGCCUCUCCUCCACCUCCACCUCCACCUCGGGGCCCUCACGCUGCUGGGAUCCCAGCGCCGCCCUCGCCGCGGCCACAGAGCGGGUCCGCGCCGGGACGCUCAGCCCGGCAGACGCACGCCACCUGUUCGACGAAUUGCUGCAGCGGCCAACCCCGGUCCCUGGUCAAGCCCUGAACGGCUUCCUCGCCGCCCUUGCCCGCGCUCCGGCCUCCGCCGCCUGCGGAGACAGCCCCGCCCUCGCCGUGUCUCUCUUCAACCGCCUGUGCCGAGAAGCCAGCCCGCAUGCGUCGCCUCUUACAGUCCACACCUACAGCAUCCUCAUGGACUGCUGCUGCCGCGCGCGUCGCCCUGACCUGGGGCUUGCCUUCUUCGGCCGCCUCCUCAGGACGGGCCUGAGGACAGACGGCGUCGACGCAUACGCCCUCAUCAAGUGCUUCUGCCUCGCAAAACGGACAGACGAGGCUGUCAGCGUGCUGCUCCAUAGGUUGUCUGAACUCGGCUGUGUGCCUGAUGCCUUAUCAUACUCCGUCGUUCUGAAGGUCUUAUGCGAUGAUAGCAGGAGCCAGCGAGCGCUCGACCUGCUCCGGAUGAUGUCGAAAGAAGGAGGUGUCUGCGCCCCCAACGUGGUGCCAUAUAGCACGGUCAUCCACGGCUUCUGCAAGGAAGGCAAAGUAAGCAAGGCAUGCGAUCUGUUCAACAAAAUGGGGCAGCAAGGAGUUAAGCCUAAUGUGGUGACAUAUACCUCGAUAAUUGAUGCGCUGUGCAAGGCCAGAGCAAUGGACAAGGCAGAGUCAUUCCUUCGGCAUAUGGUCGAUAAUGAUGUUCGACCCAACAACGUGACAUAUAAGUGUAUCAUCCAGGGAUAUUCCUCUUUGGGCUUGUGGAAUGAGGCAGUAAAAAUAUUCAGAGAAAUGACAAGCCGGGGUCUUAUGCUAGAUGAUGUUACUCGCAACUCAUUCGUGGCCUCCCUUUGCAACCAUGGAAGAAGCAAGGAAGCUGCGGAGAUUGCCCAUCAGAUGAUUGAAAGUGAAACUACAGUGAGCAACUGAGCAUUUCCACAUACGGUAUAAUUCUUGGAGAACUUUGUAGGAAUAAUUGCACUGAGGAAGCAAUCAUACUGUUCCACAAAUUAGGUGCAGUGGAUGUGAAGUUCGAUAUUACAAUAUUCAAUACCAUGAUUGAUGCAAUGUACAGGGUUCAAAGAAGAGAAGAAGCUAACAUUUUGUUUGCUGCAAUAUCUGCCAAUGGAUUGGUACCUAAUGCUUCUACUUACAGAAUAAUGAUGACAAAUCUUUUAAAAGAAGGAUCAAUGGAAGAAGCUGAUCAUAUGUUUUCAUCAAUGGAGGCGAGUGGUGAUGCUCCCAGCUCCGUUCUGUUAAAUGAUAUCAUCAGAAUGUUGCUAGAAAAAGGUGAGAUAGUCAAGGCUGGAAAUUAUUUGUCUAAAGUUGAUGGGAAGAGCAUUUCACUUGAAAAUUCAACUGGUUUGUUGAUGAUGCAUCUAUUUUCAAGGGAAGGCAAAUAUCAUGAGCAAAUAAAAUCACUCCCUGCAAGGUAUCGAUUUUUCGGAGGAGUCAGACACAGUUGAAUAGUUGAUUCAUUGGAUGUGUAUAACUCCUUGGAAGGUACAGUUGAUUUAUUCCAUUGCCAUCUGGGUCUCUUGCUGGUAUUGUAAAUGCAAAUUAGUUGCUUGUGGAAAACUGGUCAUUCAUUUUUCAUUCAGUUCAUAUCUGUGUAUCUUUUAAGCUUCUUUGGGUGUGGAAAGGUGAACCACAUAGUCUAGCAGAACUGGUUGCAUUUAGGGAUAAUGGCUUCUGAUUGAACAGGGAAGGUAUAGAUAUGUGCUCUUUCCACAAGAAGCCCAAUAAACACCAAUUCUAGCUUUUCUAGCAUGGUUUGUUCCAACCACCCGAGAUUUUAUAAUCUCUCUAAAACAGUCACUUUCCUUGAUAUGAAUGCAUUUUUAGCAGAUAUCAUUCUCAGUGAUGUGCUAAGGGUAGACUCACUUUUAGUUUGAGGAAUUUCUGAUAAUGUCAGGGCAAAUGGGUCCCUAAAAAAGGGAUGUUUGAGAUUGCUGAUGCUAUGUUCAUUUAGUGGAUAUUCGAGCUCAUGUCGGAGUCUCAUAGUGUAAGCUGUCAGUAGCACUGAUGGAGAUUGUUGAAUACACUGCCGGCGAUGAGCGGUGUCUUUGGGAGAUUGCAGGCUGACAGGGCCUCUCUUCCUUGACUGCCAUGGCCCUUGGAGCUUAGUUGUUUGGCUGUAGUCCUGUCUGGUCGUUUUUUUAAUGAUAAACAGGCGCGAAUGUAGUCUAAGAACAAUAGUGUGGCAUGUGUAGCGUGUGUGACUGGGUGCUGUAUGGGUUCUUGUCCCAUUUCUUCUUCUUAAUGUAAUGAUACGCAGAUCUCCCGCGUGCGAGAAAAAAGAGAUUGUUGAAUACAGGUGAUAAAAGUAUUGCCAGUAUGUUAUCUUUCUGUUAUUGAGAGCACACUUCAUUGAAGAUUCAACUGCUUUCCUGCUCCUCGUAAUGUAGGGAAAGGUAUAGCCAAGAAUUCACCGGUGCGAGUUUUCGCUUAAGUCCACAAGGCACCAACACCAUUUUGGUGACAGAGGAGAAGGACCUAAAGCAUUUGCUUGACGAGAAAUUCUUGUUCCUAAGCACAUGUACAGUCCUGUCCAGUCCUGUUUGGUUUUGGUGCCCUAAAUGCUCCACCGCUGCGACUUCUACUUUCUCUUUUACAACUUGAAAGGCAGUUGUUUUACAGCAUAGACCAGGGAUCAGAAUGAGAGCAAAGGCAGAGGAGCGGCACAGACGAUGAUGUAAUUGUUGGAAAUAUAGUGCAACAGAGCUUUAUUGCAGUGACAUUUACACUAUAUUUUCCUAAGGAAAUUGUCAGGAUGGUACUGUCAGAUGUAAAUGGAAUACAAUGUCUGAAACCUUGUUUCAGUACAGUUUGGUUGUCAACAUUCAGAAACAGAGUUUCAGGUCUGUGCAAACGGGUGAGUCGAGGUCUGACCCUGGUGUCAACUGAUCCCGUUUCUAGCCGGACUGAAUUCUGGUAUGUUUGAUUGAUACAAACUUACAAAGUGAAGUCCAUCUCAUCAACGGUACCACGGCUGCCGCACGAAUUCUCCGGUGGAUAAACUUGCACAAGUAGUCGCCGCAGGAGGAGUGCGUGGGAGAAACUCCAGGGGGCGGAUCCUGAAGUUUAGGCAGUUCGUUGGUUUAGGGUUGAUUGCUGAUUCGUGCCUAUAAAAGGGAGACGUCCCAGAUAGGAAGACACACAGAAAAAGCAUUCACCUGAGUUCUUCUCUGUUUCGUCGCCGGAGCCUCGCCAUCCCUUUCCUGUUGUGCUGCAGGACGGGGAGAGCAGUAAUCUCCGUUCCUUCUCCGGCUUGCUGACCUGCACGGGUGCCGGAGCAAUCAAGGUUCUGGGAAGUGCCUCUGCACGCUGCUCGCCGAUCUGCAUCGCCACUUCCGCUUCUCCAGCUUCGUCAGGCUUCCACUUCAACACCUUCGUUUCAGUCAAGAUUUUGCUGGACUGGCAUUAAUGGGGUUGGCAACACUCUGCUUGGGCUCUGGGACAAGUUUGUGUUUGUUACGGUUCACUGAUGAUCUUAAUCUGGUUUGGGGAAUUCUGAGAAUUGCUUCAGGCUUUAUUUGAUACCAACUGGAGUGACUGUUAAUACUCCUUUGAUUUGCUCUUCACAUGCAUCACCAAGAUUCUAUGUAGACAUUUUUGUUUUCCUUGUUAUACUCCACCAAGAAUGCUGUCUGAGCCUUUACUCCCUUCGUCCCACAAUAUAAAAGCGUUUUUGUGUCAAAAACGCUCUUAUAUUAUACGUAUAGGACAGAGGGCACUAGUGUAAAAAACGCUCUUAUAUUAUAGGACGAAGGGAGUAGAACUAUUCCUGUUAAGACUAGCUCCCUGGAAAUUAAGACAAGACACAAUCCCUACAUACUCAAUGGUAGCUGAAACUUUUGCAUUCUACUACUGUACUAGUUAAAUUGGCCCCUCUUUUAAACUUUUGUAUGCCUUGUACAUGGAUUGCAAAUUUUAGUAAAAUAUUCUUUGCUUAAGAGAUUUUUGUAGGCUCUGUUCUUCUCCACUGGGAGGAAUUGGUAAGUCUGUGUGAUUUUGGACAAUUUGAUGGUAGUCUAUGUCUUUUCUUGAGUUCUUUUUUUUGGUGUUUGUGUACUUUUUUUUUUUGGCGGGGCUACUGUUUUUUUAGGCCAAGUGUUUGUGUAUUGUUGCUUGGCGUAUCGAUUUCUUGGGCCAAAAGGAUACAUGGGUGUGGCAGAGAGUAGGUACCACCGCAUUGCCUCCGGGAGAAUAAUAAUAAAAUUUUAAUUGUCUAAAAAAAUCAAAAUAAAAGGAAUGGGUGAAGGUCGCUGACGUGUGGGCCUCUGCCGGCUAUCCACCACGCACCUGACUGGUUGAUUCCUACGGUUUGUCACAGGCUCACAGCCGGAGCGAGCUCGCCGGCGCCUGUCCAGUCCACGCCCAUGGCGACUCCGACCACGAGCCGUCUCCACCACUACCUCCUCCCCGCCCUUCCAUCUCGCCCACCUCGCACCUCGUCCUCCUCAGCCCCCUCAGUCCAGGGACCCAGCCGCCGGCCUACCUCCCGGCUGUACUGCUCAUCGCCGCCGGUGGGAGCGCCGCCGUCAGGGAAGGGCGGCGAGUACCGGCCCUCCUUAGCCGACGACUUCCUCCUCGCCUUCUUCCGGGCCAAGAUGGUGGAGCUGUAGGAGGUUGGGUGGGAUUCUCAAAAGCCUGGAUACGAAGGGCUGAUCGAAGUUGCGAAUCGCCUCAUGAUCAAGGGGAAGAGUGCUUCGGAGACUGAGCAAUCAGCUGUCCGAGUACUCCAGGCACUGUUCCCCCCUCUGUUGCUGGUCCUUUUCAAAGCUCUUUUAGCACCAAUUGCUAAUGGCCAACUUGCAUCCAUGAUGGUAGGUGAGUUCAUUGCAAGUCAGACAUUUUAGGCAGUGCAUGUAAUACUUUCAGGACUCAAUUCUCUGUAGAGAUCAACUGCAGAAUUAACUUAGCGUGAUCGGUGGUCUUCUUUUUCUUACUUGUGAUCCGUUGGACUCGUGAAGCUAGAGCAACAGCGCUUUCGUGCCAAUGGCUGAUGGGCACAUGUUCAGUGAAUUCUGUGACACUGCCCAAUGGGAAGUCAUUGUCAAGUGGGGUGUUUGUCGAGAAGUGUAAAUAUUUGGAAGAGAGCAAAUGUCUUGGCAUUUGUAUCAACACGUGCAAACUGCCAACCCAGACCUUCUUCAAGGAUCACAUGGGCGUCGAUUUGUAUAUGGAGCCAAAUUUUGAAGACUAUAGCUGCCAGUUCAACUUUGGAGUGCCACCCCCACCUAUCGACACGGACAAGGCCUUGAAGGAACCCUGCUUGGACAUAUGCACAAAUGCGAGACGGCGCAGAGAGCUUGGCAGCAGCGGUGGCCCAGAUGGUCUAUGCCCCCAAGUUUAAUCUGCUGUUUCUGAAACCAGGCACAUUGGUAUGAUUCAGCAAUGGUGCUGCCCUGGCUUCACCUGGGGCUAUACUAGACUGAAGAUGGAUUUGUACGCGGGCUUUGCGGGCUGGGCCGCCUUCUUCCCUAGCUGAACUGUAUAGCAUGAUGUGCACAUACACGCCACAUGCUGCGUGCAUGGGUUUAAUUGGGAUGUAUGCAACCUACUAUAAUUAGAAUAACGAAGUUGAAUCUCGUAU